GCAAACUUAUAAGAGCAUAUGGUGGAUGCCUAGACAUCAAUGGACGAUGAAGGACGUAGCAACCUGCGAUAAUCUUCGGGGAGGUGGUAAGCAACCUUUGAUCCGGAGGUCUCCGAAUGGGGAAACCCAGCCGAGCAAACCUCGGCUAUCUCUACCUGAAUACAUAGGGUAGUUGAAGAAGACCUGGGGAAGUGAAACAUCUCAGUACCCAGAGGAAUAUAAAAUAAUAAUGAUUCCCUUAGUAGUGGCGAGCGAACGGGGACAAGCCCAAACCUUGUAGGAAUGAUUUUCCGCAAAUUCUUUUUCUUCGGAAGGAGGAGGCGUGGUUUAUUAACGGCUGUAGGGCUAAUGCUUACAAGGUGUAGCGGGAUGGUCAUGUUCACACACCUAUUAUGUGUGGAGUAGGAGUGUUGCUGUUUAGUUGAGUGGGCUGGAAAGCCCAACCAAAGAAGGUGAAAGUCCUGUAAACGAAAAGCAGUAAUGCACUACUAUGAUUAUUCCCAAGUACGGCGGGACACGUGAAAUCCCGUCUGAAUCUGCCGGGACUAUCCGGUAAGGCUAAAUACCAUUGAUGAUCGAUAGUGAACUAGUACCGUGAGGGAAAGGUGAAAAGCACCCCGAUGAGGGGGCAUGAAAAGUAUCUGAAACCAUAUGCUUACAAGGAGUCGGAGCCCGGUUUUUACUGGGUGACGGCGUGCCUAUUGAAGAAUGAGCCAACGAGUUCGUGUAUGUUGCAUGCUUAAGUUCGAGAAGAACGAAGGCGUAGUGAAAGCGAGGGUUAACUGCCCGAUUUAGUAGCAUAUACGAGACCCGAAACCGAGUGAUCUAGCCAUGGCCAGGGUGAAGACUUGGGAAACCAAGUUGGAGGCCCGAACCCACUCGCCGUGCAACACGAGGGGAUGAGCUGUGGUUAGCGGUGAAAUACUAAUCGAACUCGGUAAUAGCUGGUUCUCUCCGAAACAGUUUUAGGACUGGCCUUUGAUGUUCCUUUUGGGGGUAGAGCACUGAAUAGGGGUGGGUGGGCAACCAUACCAUCCUUAAUCAAACUCCGAAUACCAAAAGUCAAAAAUCAGAGAGUUAGACUGUGGGGGCUAAGCUCCAUAGUCGAAAGGGAAACAGCCCAGACCGUAAUAUAAGGUCCCUAAAUUUAGGUUAAGUGUUAAAGGUAGUGAGAUGACUUGCACAACUAGGAGGUUGGCUUAGAAGCAGCCAUCCUUUAAAGAUAGCGUAACAGCUCACUAGUCUAGUCGUCUUGCAUCGAAAAUGUAGCGGGGCUAAAACCUAAUACCGAAUAUACGGGUUCUAUAUCAAUUACGAUGUAGAGCGGUAGGAGAGCGUUCCAUGGGCACUGAAGCCGGACUCGCGAGAGCCGGUGGAGCGCAUGGAAGUGAGAAUGUUGGCAUGAGUAGCAAAAAGACCGGUGAGAAACCGGUCCACCGUAAACCUAAGGUUUCCUGGGCAAUGUUUGUCAACCCAGGGUUAGUCGGACCUAAGGCGAGGCCGAAAGGCGUAGUCGAUGGAUGAGCAGGUUAAUAUUCCUGCACUACUAUUAGUUCUCGAUGGGGGGACGUGGUUUAUGACAGUGAGCGUAAUUUGGUUAUGUACGUUGGUGGCUAGUAGAGUGGUUCUAGGCAAAUCCGGAACCAUAAAGCUCGAACGUUGCCUGAAGAAACAGCUACGGUUGUUUCAAUUCACAAUAUUAAAUCACCAAGAAAAUCCUCUAGAGUUAAGCUAAUAGUACCCGUACCGUAAACCAACACAGGUAGGUGAGGCGAGUAGCCUCAGGUGUACGAGAGAACCCUUGUUCAGGAACUCGGCAAAACAGCGGCCGUAACUUCGGGAUAAGGCCUGCCCCGAGUAAUCGGGGCCGCAGCAAAAGACUUCACGCGACUGUUUACCAAAAACACAGGUCUCUGCUAAGUCGCAAGACAAAGUAUAGGGGCUGACGCCUGGCCAGUGUCCGAACGUUAAAGUGAUGGGUGCAAGCCUUGAUCUGAAGCGCGGAUGAACGCCGGCGAUAACUAUAAUCGUCCUAAGGUAGCGAAAUUCCUUGUCGGGUGAGUUCCGACCCGCACGAAUGGCGUAACGGUGUGAAGACUGUCUUAACAAGGGACUCGGCGAAAUUGCAAUACGAGUAAAGAUGCUCGUUACCCGCAGCCGGACGAAAAGACCCCGUGAAGCUUUACUACAACUUGACAUUGAAUUAAGGGUAUGCAUGCUCAGUAUAGGUGGGAGCCUUCGGGCAACAGUGAGAUACCACCCUUGUAUGCUUUUAAUUCUAAUCUUGUCCCGUUAUCCGGGAUGGAAACAGUGUCUGGCGGGUAGUUUAACUGGGGCGGUUGCCUCCCAAAAAGUAACGGAGGCGUUUACAAAGGUUGGCUAGAUCCCGAUGGAAACGGGAUUGAUAGUGCAAACGCAUAAGCCAGCUUUACUGCGAGACCUACAAGUCGAGCAGUUGCGAAAGCAGAAGUUAGUGAUCCGACCGUACGAUAUAGGACGGCGGAAGCUCAACGGAUAAAAGCUACUCCGGGGAUAACAGGCUAGUCGCGCCCAAGCGUCCAUAGCGACGGCGCGGUUCGGCACCUCGAUGUCGGCUCGUCUCAUCCUGGGGGUGAAGAAGCUCCCAAGGGUUUGGCUGUUCGCCAAUUAAAGAGGCACGCGAGCUGGGUUCAGAACGUCGUGAGACAGUUCGGUCUCCUAUCCGCUGCGGGCGUUAGAAAUUUGAGAAGACUCUUCCCUAGUACGAGAGGACCGGGAAGGACGGACCUCUGGUGUACCAGUUGUUCUACCAAGGGCAUUGCUGGGUAGCCAAGUUCGGUUAGGAUAAGCGCUGAAAGCAUAUAAGCGCGAAGCCGACUUCAAGAUUAGAUUUCUUUAUGAGACACCUCAGAGACUAUGAGGUUGAUAGGCGGUAAGUGUAAGUCUGGCAACAGAUUUAGCUGAGCCGUACUAAUUUGUCCAAU
RNAcentral lists this ribosomal RNA (2963 nucleotides) under Candidatus Falkowbacteria bacterium CG10_big_fil_rev_8_21_14_0_10_39_11. RNAcentral describes it as "bacterial LSU rRNA". It matches the Rfam family "Bacterial large subunit ribosomal RNA". The record is from RNAcentral. Lineage: Bacteria; Candidatus Falkowiibacteriota.